Molecule: ribosomal RNA, 138 nt
Filed under: uncultured eukaryote
Lineage: Eukaryota
Description: partial 18S ribosomal RNA
Rfam family: Eukaryotic small subunit ribosomal RNA
Source: RNAcentral
UGGUGGAGCGAUUUGUCUGGUUAAUUCCGAUAACGAACGAGACUCUAGCCUAUUAAAUAGUUCGCCGAUCACGCUACGUCGGCGUCAACUUCUUAGAGGGACAAGUGGCGUUUAGCCACGCGGGAUUGAGCAAUAACA